RNAcentral lists this transfer-messenger RNA (369 nucleotides) under Mucilaginibacter terrenus. RNAcentral's name for it is "Standard tmRNA". It matches the Rfam family "transfer-messenger RNA". Rfam says of the family: Bacterial tmRNA, also known as 10Sa RNA or SsrA, is named for its dual tRNA and mRNA-like properties. Its role is to liberate the mRNA from a stalled ribosome. To accomplish this part of the tmRNA is used as a reading frame that ends in a translation stop signal. Lineage: Bacteria; Pseudomonadati; Bacteroidota; Sphingobacteriia; Sphingobacteriales; Sphingobacteriaceae. The record is from Rfam by way of RNAcentral.
GGGGUCGACCGGAAUUGACAGGAUGGAGAUGAAUAAGUAAGCAUGCAGCGCGUUGGGUGAAUUAGCGCUCUAAUCUGAACACUCAAACACACAAACGGCGAAAAUAACUACGCCUUAGCUGCCUAAUUUAGAAUUAGCAUAGCUUUUGUCCCGCCGGUUUUCGGUUCCAUUGAGCCGGCAUCAGGGGCAUCGACAAACGGAACUGGCUCGCUUAGGGUGUGAUAAGCAGGCGAGAUAAAGCACCUACGGAAGACGGUACAGGCAAGCAACUGGCCUUCCCCUUCCCGACAAUUUAACAGAAGCUAAGCAUGUAGAAAGCUUACUUUAUACCAUGUUUGGACGAGGGUUCGAAUCCCUCCGGCUCCACUU